RNAcentral lists this ribosomal RNA (421 nucleotides) under Fusobacteriota bacterium. RNAcentral's name for it is "Fusobacteria bacterium partial 16S ribosomal RNA". It matches the Rfam family "Bacterial small subunit ribosomal RNA", at positions 355 to 776 of the family's 1533-position model. Lineage: Bacteria; Fusobacteriati; Fusobacteriota. The record is from RNAcentral.
UGGGGAAUUUUGCACAAUGGGGGGAACCUUGAUGCAGCGACGCCGCGUGAGGGAUGGAGGCCUUCGGGUUGUGAACCUCUUUCGCUCGUGUGCAAGCCGCUAUUUGGGUAGUGGUGAGUGUAGCGGGUAAAGAAGCGCCGGCUAACUACGUGCCAGCAGCCGCGGUAAUACGUAGGGCGCGAGCGUUGUCCGGAUUUAUUGGGCGUAAAGGGCUUGUAGGCGGUUUGUCGCGCCUGUCGUGUAAUCCUCUGGCUUAACUGGGGGUGUGCGGUGGGUACGGGCAAGCUUGAGUGCGGUAGGGGAGGUUGGAAUUCCUGGUGUAGCGGUGGAAUGCGCAGAUAUCAGGAGGAACACCGGUGGCGAAGGCGGGUCUCUGGGCCGUUACUGACGCUGAGGAGCGAAAGCGUGGGGAGCGAACAGG